UACGGGGGGGGCAAGCGUUGUUCGGAAUUACUGGGCGUAAAGGGCUCGUAGGCGGCCAACUAAGUCAGACGUGAAAUCCCUCGGCUUAACCGGGGAACUGCAUCUGAUACUGGAUGGCUUGAGAUUGGGAGAGGGAUGCGGAAUUCCAGGUGUAGCGGUGAAAUGCGUAGAUAUCUGGAGGAACACCGGUGGCGAAGGCGGCAUCCUGGACCAACACUGACGCUGAGGAGCGAAAGCAUGGGGAGCGAACAGG
Molecule: ribosomal RNA, 253 nt
Filed under: uncultured bacterium
Lineage: Bacteria
Description: partial 16S ribosomal RNA
Rfam family: Bacterial small subunit ribosomal RNA
Source: RNAcentral